RNAcentral lists this microRNA precursor (72 nucleotides) under Merops nubicus (carmine bee-eater). Its description in RNAcentral is "mir-192/215 microRNA precursor family". It matches the Rfam family "mir-192/215 microRNA precursor family". Rfam says of the family: This family represents the human microRNA (miRNA) precursors mir-192 and mir-215. Animal miRNAs are transcribed as ~70nt precursors and subsequently processed by the Dicer enzyme to give a ~22nt product. In this case the mature sequence comes from the 5' arm of the precursor. Lineage: Eukaryota; Metazoa; Chordata; Aves; Coraciiformes; Meropidae. The record is from Rfam by way of RNAcentral. RNAcentral also lists the same sequence under 1 other name.
CCAGGAAAAUGACCUAUGAAUUGACAGACUGCUUUCAAAUUUGCCUGUCACUUCUAUAGGCCAAUAUUCUGU